GCAGUGGUGGUUCAGUGGCAGAAUUCUUGCCUUCCAUGCGGAAGGCCUGGUUUGAUUCCCAGCCAAUGCA
Molecule: transfer RNA, 70 nt
Filed under: Loxodonta africana (African savanna elephant)
Lineage: Eukaryota; Metazoa; Chordata; Mammalia; Proboscidea; Elephantidae
Rfam family: tRNA
About the family: Transfer RNA (tRNA) molecules are approximately 80 nucleotides in length. Their secondary structure includes four short double-helical elements and three loops (D, anti-codon, and T loops).
Source: Rfam by way of RNAcentral